RNAcentral lists this ribosomal RNA (1198 nucleotides) under Salmonella enterica subsp. enterica serovar Nottingham. Its description in RNAcentral is "partial 23S ribosomal RNA". It matches the Rfam family "Bacterial large subunit ribosomal RNA", at positions 1 to 1230 of the family's 2925-position model. Lineage: Bacteria; Pseudomonadati; Pseudomonadota; Gammaproteobacteria; Enterobacterales; Enterobacteriaceae. The record is from RNAcentral.
GGGUUGUGAGGUUAAGCGACUAAGCGUACACGGUGGAUGCCCUGGCAGUCAGAGGCGAUGAAGGGCGUGCUAAUCUGCGAUAAGCGCCGGUAAGGUGAUAUGAACCGUUAUAACCGGCGAUACCCGAAUGGGGAAACCCAGUGUGACUCGUCACACUAUCAUUAACUGAAUCCAUAGGUUAAUGAGGCGAACCGGGGGAACUGAAACAUCUAAGUACCCCGAGGAAAAGAAAUCAACCGAGAUUCCCCCAGUAGCGGCGAGCGAACGGGGAGGAGCCCAGAGCCUGAAUCAGCAUGUGUGUUAGUGGAAGCGUCUGGAAAGGCGCGCGAUACAGGGUGACAGCCCCGUACACAAAAGUGCAUGUGCUGUGAGCUCGAUGAGUAGGGCGGGACACGUGGUAUCCUGUCUGAAUAUGGGGGGACCAUCCUCCAAGGCUAAAUACUCCUGACUGACCGAUAGUGAACCAGUACCGUGAGGGAAAGGCGAAAAGAACCCCGGCGAGGGGAGUGAAAAAGAACCUGAAACCGUGUACGUACAAGCAGUGGGAGCACCCUUUGGGGUGUGACUGCGUACCUUUUGUAUAAUGGGUCAGCGACUUAUAUUCUGUAGCAAGGUUAACCGAAUAGGGGAGCCGGAGGGAAACCGAGUCUUAAUUGGGCGUUAAGUUGCAGGGUAUAGACCCGAAACCCGGUGAUCUAGCCAUGGGCAGGUUGAAGGUUGGGUAACACUAACUGGAGGACCGAACCGACUAAUGUUGAAAAAUUAGCGGAUGACCUGUGGCUGGGGGUGAAAGGCCAAUCAAACCGGGAGAUAGCUGGUUCUCCCCGAAAGCUAUUUAGGUAGCGCCUCGUGAAUUCAUCUCCGGGGGUAGAGCACUGUUUCGGCUAGGGGGCCAUCCCGGCUUACCAACCCGAUGCAAACUGCGAAUACCGGAGAAUGUUAUCACGGGAGACACACGGCGGGUGCUAACGUCCGUCGUGAAGAGGGAAACAACCCAGACCGCCAGCUAAGGUCCCAAAGUCAUGGUUAAGUGGGAAACGAUGUGGGAAGGCCCAGACAGCCAGGAUGUUGGCUUAGAAGCAGCCAUCAUUUAAAGAAAGCGUAAUAGCUCACUGGUCGAGUCGGCCUGCGCGGAAGAUGUAACGGGGCUAAACCAUGCACCGAAGCUGCGGCAGCGACGCUGAUGCGUUGUUGGGUA